UACGAAGGGGGCUAGCGUUGUUCGGAAUUACUGGGCGUAAAGCGCACGUAGGCGGAUUUGUAAGUCAGGGGUGAAAUCCCGGGGCUCAACCUCGGAACUGCCUUUGAUACUGCGAGUCUCGAGUCCGAUAGAGGUGGGUGGAAUUCCUAGUGUAGAGGUGAAAUUCGUAGAUAUUAGGAAGAACACCGGUGGCGAAGGCGGCCCACUGGAUCGGUACUGACGCUGAGGUGCGAAAGCGUGGGGAGCAAACAGG
Molecule: ribosomal RNA, 253 nt
Filed under: uncultured bacterium
Lineage: Bacteria
Description: partial 16S ribosomal RNA
Rfam family: Bacterial small subunit ribosomal RNA
Source: RNAcentral